Molecule: RNA transcript, 1613 nt
Organism: Cercocebus atys (sooty mangabey)
Lineage: Eukaryota; Metazoa; Chordata; Mammalia; Primates; Cercopithecidae
Gene name: lys-63-specific deubiquitinase BRCC36 pseudogene
Exons: 1
Source: RefSeq, a predicted model, not a curated record
CCGGGCCAAGAUGGCGGUGCAGGUGGUGCAGGUAGUGCAGGCGGUUCAUCUCAAGUCUGACGCUUUCCUCGUUUGUCUCAACCACGCUCUGAGCACAGAGAAGAAGUGAUGGGGCUGUGCAUAGGGGAGUUGAACGAUGAUCCAAGGAGUGACUCCAAAUUUGCAUAUACUGGAACUGAAAUGCGCACAGUUGCUGAAAAGGUUGAUGCCGUCAGAAUUGUUCACAUUCAUUCUGUCAUCAUCUUACGACGUUCUGGUAAGGGGAAGGACCGAGUAAAGAUUUCUCCAGAGCAGCCGUCUGCAGCUUCAACAGAGCAGAGAGGGUGGCUGAACUGACAGGCCGCCCUAUUAGAGUUGCAGGCUGGUAUCAUUCCCAUCCUCAUAUAACUGUUUGGCCUUCACAUGUUGAUGUUCGCACACAAGUCAUGUGCCAGAUGAUGGAUCAAGGCUUUGUAGGACUUAUUUUUUCCUGUUUCAUAGAAGACAAGAACACAAAGACUGGCUGGGUACUCUACACUUGCUUCCAAUCCACACAGGCCCAAAAGAGUUCAGAGUAUAAGAGAAUCGAAAUCCCAAUCCAUAUUGUACCUCAUGUCACUAUUGGGAAAGUGUGCCUUGAAUCAGCAGUACAGCUGCCCAAGAUCCUAUGCCAGGAGGAGCAGAAUGCGUAUAGGAGGAUCCACAGCCUUACACAUCUGGACUCAGUAACCAAGAUACAUAAUGGCUCAGUGUUUACCAAGAAUCUGUGCAGUCAGAUGUCAGCAGUCAGCAGGCCUCUCCUACAGUGGCUGGAGGACAGACUGGAGCAAAACCAACAGCAUUUGCAGGAAUUGCAACAAGAAAAGGAAGUGCUUAUGCAAGAACUUUCUUCUCUAGAAUAAAGCAGGAGACAAAAUGGGGAAAGAUGAAAAUAUCCAGGGUAAAGUUACUUAAGCUAAAUCAAUUUUGAAGAAGAAAAACUUGGAGGACUCAUAUCACCUGACUUCAAGACUUACUAUAAAGCUAUAGUAAUCAAGAUAGAUGGUAUUGGCAGAGGAACAGACACAUAGAUCAAUGGAACAGAUGAGAGAACCCAGAAAUAAAUCCACAUAAAUAUGCUCAACUGAUUGUGAAAAAGUGCAAAAGCAAUUCAAUGGAGGAAGAAUAGCCUUUCUGACAAAUUAUGCUGGAGCAAUUAGACACCCAUAGCGAGGAGAAAAAAGAACCUCUACUUAAACCUCACAUCUUAUAUAAAAUUUAAUUUACAUAAAAUAUAAAAAUGUAUAAUGGACUUAAAUGUAAUACAUAAAACUAUAUAACUUGGAAAAAAGCCACAGGAGAAAAAUCUUCAGGAUCUUGGGCUAGGUGACAAGUUCUUGGACUUUGCCCUAAAAGCACAUCCAUACAAGACAAAAACUGAUAUCCUGGACUUCUUCAAAAUUUAAAAACUUGUGAUUUAAGAAGAGGAAAAGAUAAGCUACAGAUUGAGAUGAAUUUGCAAACCAUAUAUCUGAUCAAUUUGGAAUAUAUAUCGUAUGCUAAAAACUCAACUGUAGUCAGGCUUGGUAGCUCAUGCUUGUAAUUUCACCACUUUGGGAGGCGUGCUUGAGGUUAAGGGUUCCAGACCAGCCUGG